UAACGAAUAUUGGGCAAUGGGCGCAAGCCUGACCCAGCAAUGCCGCGUGCAGGAGGAAGCCCUUCGGGGUGUAAACUGCUGUCAGGGUUUAGCAAGCGAGAAGGGUUAACAGCCCUUUGAGUUGAGCAGACCCAGAGGAAGCCUCGGCUAACUCUGUGCCAGCAGCCGCGGUAAGACAGAGGAGGCAAGCGUUGUUCGGAAUCACUGGGCUUAAAGCGGGUGCAGGCGGCUCCGUAAGUGUUUUGUGAAAUCCCCCGGCUCAACCGGGGAAUUGCAGGGCAAACUACGGAGCUUGAGGUCGGUAGAGGUGCCUGGAACUCUAGGUGGAGCGGUGAAAUGCGUAGAUAUCUAGAGGAACGCCUGAGGCGAAAGCGGGGCACUGGGCCGAUUCUGACGCUGAGACCCGAAAGCGUGGGGAGCAAACA
RNAcentral lists this ribosomal RNA (425 nucleotides) under uncultured prokaryote. RNAcentral describes it as "bacterial SSU rRNA". It matches the Rfam family "Bacterial small subunit ribosomal RNA", at positions 355 to 774 of the family's 1533-position model. The record is from RNAcentral.